Molecule: ribosomal RNA, 433 nt
Filed under: uncultured bacterium
Lineage: Bacteria
Description: partial 16S ribosomal RNA
Rfam family: Bacterial small subunit ribosomal RNA
Source: RNAcentral
AACGAACGCUGGCGGCAUGCCUAACACAUGCAAGUCGAACGAGACCUCCGGGCCUAGUGGCGCACGGGUGCGUAACGCGUGGUAACUUGCCCUUAGGUUCGGAACAACUGCCUGUAAGGUGUGUUAAUACCGGUUAAUGUAUUCGGACCAAAGAGUUAUUGCUUUUGGGUGGGCGCGGGUUGGAUUGGCGGGUUGGUAGGGGAAAAGCCUACCAAGGCGACGAUGCUUAGCUGGUCUGAGAGGAUGAUUCACCACGCUGGGACUGAGACACGGACCAGACUCGUACGGAGCGCAGCAGUGUAGAAUAUUGGGCGAUGGGCGCAAGCCUGAUCCCGCAAUGCCGGGGAAGUGGUGCAGGCGUUAGGGUUGUAAAGCUCUUUUAGCCGAGAUGUUAGUGACGGUACCGGGAGAAUAAGCACCGGCUAACUACGUG